Molecule: ribosomal RNA, 253 nt
Filed under: uncultured bacterium
Lineage: Bacteria
Description: partial 16S ribosomal RNA
Rfam family: Bacterial small subunit ribosomal RNA
Source: RNAcentral
UACGAAGGGUGCAAGCGUUACUCGGAAUUACUGGGCGUAAAGCGUGCGUAGGUGGUUUGUUAAGUCUGUUGUGAAAGCCCCGGGCUCAACCUGGGAAUGGCAAUGGAUACUGGCAAGCUAGAGUGCGGUAGAGGGUAGUGGAAUUCCCGGUGUAGCGGUGAAAUGCGUAGAGAUCGGGAGGAACACCAGUGGCGAAGGCGGCGAUCUGGGAAGAUACUGACGCUGAGGUGCGAAAGCGUGGGGAGCAAACAGG